This 570-nucleotide ribosomal RNA is filed under the name Apiotrichum wieringae. RNAcentral describes it as "eukaryotic LSU rRNA". It matches the Rfam family "Eukaryotic large subunit ribosomal RNA", at positions 89 to 650 of the family's 3401-position model. The record is from RNAcentral. Lineage: Eukaryota; Fungi; Basidiomycota; Tremellomycetes; Trichosporonales; Trichosporonaceae.
GCGAGUGAACCGGGAAGAGCUCAAAUUUGAAAUCUGGCAGUCUUCGAUUGUCCGAGUUGUAAUCUAUAGAAGCGUUUUCCGUGCUGAACUGUGUCUAAGUCCCUUGGAACAGGGUAUCAAAGAGGGUGACAAUCCCGUACUUGACACAAUCAUCAGUGCUCUGUGAUACGUUCUCUACGAGUCGAGUUGUUUGGGAAUGCAGCUCAAAAUGGGUGGUAAAUUCCAUCUAAAGCUAAAUAUUGGCGAGAGACCGAUAGCGAACAAGUACCGUGAGGGAAAGAUGAAAAGCACUUUGGAAAGAGAGUUAAACAGUACGUGAAAUUGUUGAAAGGGAAACGAUUGAAGUCAGUCGUGUUCAUUGGAUUCAGCCGGUCUUCGGUGUAUUUCCUUUGAACGGGUCAACAUCAGUUUUGUCCGGUGGAUAAAGGUAGUAGGAAAGUGGCUCCUCCGGGAGUGUUAUAGCCUAUUGCCACAUACACUGGGUGAGACUGAGGACUGCAGCUUGCCUUUAUGGCCGGGGUUCGCCCACGUUCAAGCUUAGGAUGUUGACAUAAUGGCUUUAAACGACCC